UGGGAAGGAGGCCUGGUAUACCUGCCACGUGCAGGACCCUGGCCUGAAGCACACCAUCACUGUGGCAUGGGGUGAGGAGCUAACCUUGAGGAGGAGUCAAGAUGGGGAAGAGGGUGGUGCCAGGACACCCGUAGACAACCCCAUGGUCUUGGACUCUUUUCUCUGUCUUCCUUAGACUCAUCCUCUAUUGGCAAUGACAGUGGCAAUGGCACACUACUUGGUGGGGUCACGGUCCUGGUCUUUGUUGGGCUGGUAGCUGUAAUUGUGAUACUGAAAAAGAAGUGUCUUCAAGGUGGAGAAGAUAAUCUUAACUCCCAACGCCCAGCAAGGACAGAAGCUGCUCAGACUCUCUGCUGAUUAAAAUUCCCCAUUACAAAAUCAAGGAAGUAUUUUGUAGGGGCAUUUUGGGUCCCCUAGAGAAACCCUAAACUAACUGGCUGAUAGCUGUGAUCUGACCACAAAGAAUCCAUCCUAUCUUCUUAUUUCUGCCAGCCUCCUUAUACAUGAUAUCUGCAACUGAUAUGGUUUUUCCAUUCCUGAAGUCAUUCUAAAAAAUCUAAUCAUUUCAGGGCUCAGGAUGUAGUUUAAUUGUAGAACAUUUGCCUAGCCUAUAUAAGACUAUGGGCUCCAUCCCCCAGCAUUGCAAAAAAAUAAUACCAAACAAAAAAAUCUAAACAUUUCCUGUUGGGGGCAGAUAGAAGGGCAGUAAUAACAGUUCCUCAGAUCUGUUUCCCACUUGACAAUUUGCAGAAUGAUUUCAUGUUAUAUAUAUAUAUAUAU
Molecule: long non-coding RNA, 780 nt
Organism: Marmota marmota marmota (Alpine marmot)
Lineage: Eukaryota; Metazoa; Chordata; Mammalia; Rodentia; Sciuridae
Source: Ensembl